Long non-coding RNA from Vigna radiata var. radiata (mung bean), 313 nucleotides. RefSeq lists it as uncharacterized. The transcript has 3 exons. NCBI's taxonomy places the organism in Eukaryota, Viridiplantae, Streptophyta, Magnoliopsida, Fabales, Fabaceae. The record is from RefSeq and is a predicted model, not a curated record.
AAGCAUUUUGCAUCUCCCAUUGAUCACAUCCUUGACUUCUUUUACUAUGUAUGGUUGAUCUAGCUAAAGUUCAAGGAGCACUGGGAGAUAACGAUCCAGGCAUAUCUCAGUGCAGUUAUCUACCUUUAUGCUGAUGACUUUAAGCAAGCUGAGAAGUGCUAUAAUGACUGCUCUCAAUUUCUAAUGAAGAGGUUAAGCAUGUUAAGCAUGGAUGAAGUGUAAAACUGCACCAGAAAUUGUAAUUUCAAUCAUUUAUCUCAAUUUUUACCCUUAAGUUGUUUUUGUAUGAAUGUAUAUUACAUUUUAAUUGUGU